RNAcentral lists this ribosomal RNA (445 nucleotides) under uncultured bacterium. Its description in RNAcentral is "partial 16S ribosomal RNA". It matches the Rfam family "Bacterial small subunit ribosomal RNA", at positions 354 to 796 of the family's 1533-position model. The record is from RNAcentral.
GUGAGGAAUAUUGCGCAAUGGAGGCAACUCUGACGCAGCCAUGCCGCGUGCAGGAAGAAGGCGCUACGCGUUGUAAACUGCUUUUAACCGGGAAGAAACCCCAGGACGUGUCCUGGGUUGACGGUACCGGAGGAAUAAGCACCGGCUAACUUCGUGCCAGCAGCCGCGGUAAUACGAAGGGUGCAAGCGUUAUCCGGAUUCAUUGGGUUUAAAGGGUGCGUAGGCGGAGCGUUAAGUCAGGGGUGAAAUCCUGCAGCUUAACUGUAGACUUGCCAUUGAUACUGGCGCUCUUGAGUGCGCUUGAAGUGGGCGGAAUGUGCCGUGUAGCGGUGAAAUGCUUAGAUAUGGCACAGAACACCAAUUGCGAAGGCAGCUCACUAAGGCGAUACUGACGCUGAGGCACGAAAGCGUGGGGAUCGAACAGGAUUAGAAACCCCGGUAGUCC